RNAcentral lists this ribosomal RNA (491 nucleotides) under uncultured bacterium. Its description in RNAcentral is "partial 16S ribosomal RNA". It matches the Rfam family "Bacterial small subunit ribosomal RNA", at positions 28 to 507 of the family's 1533-position model. The record is from RNAcentral.
GAUGAACGCUGGCUACAGGCUUAACACAUGCAAGUCGAGGGGAAACGACGGGGAAGCUUGCUUCCCCGGGCGUCGACCGGCGCACGGGUGAGUAACGCGUAUCCAACCUGCCUCUGACUGAGGGAUAACCCGUCGAAAGUCGGCCUAAUACCUCAUGGCAUCGUCUGCGGGCAUCCAACGACGAUUAAAGAUUUCAUCGGUCAGAGAUGGGGAUGCGUCUGAUUAGCUCGUUGGCGGGGUAACGGCCCACCAAGGCGACGAUCAGUAGGGGUUCUGGGAGGAAGGGCCCCCACAUUGGAGCCGAGCCCCGGUCCACAGUCCUACGUGAGGCAGCAGUCACGCAUAUUGGUCAACGGGCCCGACCCUGAACCACCCAAUUAGCGUCCAGGAUGACGGAUCUGUGGGUUGUAACCUGCUUUUAGGCGGGGAUAAAGCGAGGGACGUGUCUUUCAUUGAAGGUACCGCAUGAAUAAGGCCCGGCUAAUUCCGUG